RNAcentral lists this ribosomal RNA (425 nucleotides) under uncultured bacterium. Its description in RNAcentral is "bacterial SSU rRNA". It matches the Rfam family "Bacterial small subunit ribosomal RNA", at positions 354 to 796 of the family's 1533-position model. The record is from RNAcentral.
GUGGGGAAUAUUGGACAAUGGGGGCAACCCUGAUCCAGCCAUGCCGCGUGAGUGAAGAAGGCCUUAGGGUUGUAAAGCUCUUUCGCCGGUGAAGAUAAUGACGGUAACCGGAGAAGAAGCCCCGGCUAACUUCGUGCCAGCAGCCGCGGUAAUACGAAGGGGGCUAGCGUUGUUCGGAAUUACUGGGCGUAAAGCGCACGUAGGCGGAUUGUUAAGUCGGGGGUGAAAUCCCAGGGCUCAACCCUGGAACUGCCUCCGAUACUGGCAUUCUUGAGUCCGAGAGAGGUGAGUGGAAUUCCGAGUGUAGAGGUGAAAUUCGUAGAUAUUCGGAAGAACACCAGUGGCGAAGGCGGCUCACUGGCUCGGUACUGACGCUGAGGUGCGAAAGCGUGGGGAGCAAACAGGAUUAGAAACCCCAGUAGUCC